RNAcentral lists this transfer RNA (67 nucleotides) under Rattus norvegicus (Norway rat). It matches the Rfam family "tRNA". From Rfam's summary of the family: Transfer RNA (tRNA) molecules are approximately 80 nucleotides in length. Lineage: Eukaryota; Metazoa; Chordata; Mammalia; Rodentia; Muridae. The record is from Rfam by way of RNAcentral.
GGGGAUUUAGCUCAGUGGUAGAGCGCUUGCCUAGCAAGUGCAAGGCCCUGGGUUCGUUCAGUCCCCA